GGGAUAAUGGGCAAUGGGGGAAACCCUGACCCAGCGACGCCGCGUGAGGGAAGACGGUCUUCGGAUUGUAAACCUCUGUCUUUGGGGACGAAAAAGGACGGUACCCAAGGAGGAAGCUCCGGCUAACUACGUGCCAGCAGCCGCGGUAAUACGUAGGGAGCGAGCGUUGUCCGGAAUUACUGGGUGUAAAGGGAGCGUAGGCGGGAUUGCAAGUUGGAUGUGAAAACUGCGGGCUCAACCCGGAGAGUGCAUUCAAAACUGCGAUUCUUGAGUGAAGUAGAGGCAAGCGGAAUUCCUAGUGUAGCGGUGAAAUGCGUAGAUAUUAGGAGGAACACCAGUGGCGAAGGCGGCUUGCUGGGCUUUUACUGACGCUGAGGCUCGAAAGUGCGGGGAGCAAAC
RNAcentral lists this ribosomal RNA (399 nucleotides) under uncultured bacterium. RNAcentral describes it as "bacterial SSU rRNA". It matches the Rfam family "Bacterial small subunit ribosomal RNA", at positions 358 to 773 of the family's 1533-position model. The record is from RNAcentral.